AAUUUCUUAACUAAAUGUUAAGUAGGUAUCUUGAAAAUAUUAAAAAGAAGUUUGAUUCUUCUAGAAAUUU
RNAcentral lists this transfer RNA (70 nucleotides) under Allonychiurus kimi. Its description in RNAcentral is "tRNA-Ser". It matches the Rfam family "tRNA". Rfam says of the family: Transfer RNA (tRNA) molecules are approximately 80 nucleotides in length. Their secondary structure includes four short double-helical elements and three loops (D, anti-codon, and T loops). Further hydrogen bonds mediate the characteristic L-shaped molecular structure. tRNAs have two regions of fundamental functional importance: the anti-codon, which is responsible for specific mRNA codon recognition, and the 3' end, to which the tRNAs corresponding amino acid is attached (by aminoacyl-tRNA synthetases). tRNAs cope with the degeneracy of the genetic code in two manners: having more than one tRNA (with a specific anti-codon) for a particular amino acid; and 'wobble' base-pairing, i.e. permitting non-standard base-pairing at the 3rd anti-codon position. The record is from RNAcentral. Lineage: Eukaryota; Metazoa; Arthropoda; Collembola; Poduromorpha; Onychiuridae.